Molecule: long non-coding RNA, 916 nt
Organism: Mytilus californianus (California mussel)
Lineage: Eukaryota; Metazoa; Mollusca; Bivalvia; Mytilida; Mytilidae
Exons: 6
Source: RefSeq, a predicted model, not a curated record
UAAGACCCUGAUUAAAUAUUUAGGAAGAAAUAAGACCCUGAUCAAAGAUUUAGGUAGAAUAAGACCCUGAUCAAAGAUUUAGGUACAAUAAGACCCUGAUUUGAGAAUAAGACCCAGAUGAAAGAUUUAGGUAGAAUAAGACCCUGAUCAAAGAUUUAGGUACAAUAAGACCCUGAUGAAAGAUUUAUGUAGAAUAAGACCCUGAUUUGAGAAUAAGACCCUGAUGAAAGAUUUAGGUACAAUAAGACCCUGAUUUGAGAAUAAGACCCUGAUCAAAUAUUUAGGUAGAAUAAGACCCUGAUCAAAGAUUUAGGUAGAAUAAGACCCUGAUUUGAGAAUAAGACCCUGAUGAAAGAUUUAGGUACAAUAAGACCCUGAUUUGAGAAUAAGACCCUGAUCAAAUAUUUAGGUAGAAUAAGACCCUGAUCAAAGAUUUAGGUAGAAUAAGACCCUGAUCAAAUAUUUAGGUAGAAUAAGACCCUGAUCAAAGAUUUAGGUAGAAUAAGACCCUGAUCAAAGAUUUAGGUAAAAUAAGACCCUGAUCAAAGAUUUAGGUAGAAUAAGACCCUGAUCAAAGAUUUAGGUAGAAUAAGACCCUGAUCAAAUAUUUAGGUAGAAUAAGACCCUGAUCAAAGAUUUAGGUAGAAUAAGACCCUGAUCAAAGAUUUAGGUAGAAUAAGACCCUGAUCAAAGAUUUAUGUAGAAUAAGAAUAAGACCCUGAUCAAAGAUUUAGGUAGAAUAAGACCCUGAUCAAAGAUUUAGGUAGAAUAAGACCCCGAUCAAAGAUUUAGGUAGAAUAAGACCCUGAUCAAAGAUUUAGGUAGAAUAAGACUCUGAUCAAAGAUUUAGGACUGGUCUGAAUACAUGCAUCAGAGGAUAAUGUGAACAAAUAAUUUUUGUGACAAUUUAUUUUCU